UUUCCGUAGGUGAACCUGCGGAAGGAUCAUUAUUGUAUAACCGAGGUGCGAGGGCUGUCGCUGACCCGAAAGGUCGUGCACGCCCGAGUGCCCUCACACACAUCCAUCUCACCCCUAUGUGCACCACCGCGUGGGUCCCCCUUUGGCUUGUUCGGAGGGGGGCUUACGUUUUCACACAAACUUUGUAUGCAGUGUAGAAUGUAUUUUUUGUUUUUGCGAUCACGCAAUCAAUACAACUUUCAACAACGGAUCUCUUGGCUCUCGCAUCGAUGAAUAACGCAGC
RNAcentral lists this unclassified non-coding RNA (283 nucleotides) under plant metagenome. RNAcentral's name for it is "partial contains small subunit ribosomal RNA, internal transcribed spacer 1, and 5.8S ribosomal RNA". The stretch from base 235 to 283 matches the Rfam family "5.8S ribosomal RNA", at positions 1 to 49 of the family's 154-position model. The record is from RNAcentral.